GACGAACGCUGGCGGCGUGCUUAACACAUGCAAGUCGAACGGAAAGGCCCUGCUUUUGUGGGGUGCUCGAGUGGCGAACGGGUGAGUAACACGUGAGUAACCUGCCCUUGACUUUGGGAUAACUUCAGGAAACUGGGGCUAAUACCGGAUAGGAGCUCCUGCUGCAUGGUGGGGGUUGGAAAGUUUCGGCGGUUGGGGAUGGACUCGCGGCUUAUCAGCUUGUUGGUGGGGUAGUGGCUUACCAAGGCUUUGACGGGUAGCCGGCCUGAGAGGGUGACCGGCCAAAUUGGGACUGAGAUACGGCCCAGACUCCUACGGGGGGCAACAGGGGGGAAUAUUGCAAAAAGGGCGGAAGCCUGAUGCAGCAACGCCGCGGGCGGGAUGACGGCCUUCGGGGUGUAAACCGCUUUCGCCUGUGAAGAAGCGGGAGUGACGGUAAUGGGUAAAGAAGCACCGGCUAACUACGUG
RNAcentral lists this ribosomal RNA (468 nucleotides) under uncultured bacterium. RNAcentral describes it as "partial 16S ribosomal RNA". It matches the Rfam family "Bacterial small subunit ribosomal RNA", at positions 28 to 507 of the family's 1533-position model. The record is from RNAcentral.